ACCCUUAGAUGUUCUGGGCUGCACGCGCGCUACAAUGACAUACGCAGCAAGUUUCCUUUCUCGAAAGAGUGGGGUAAUCUUGUUAGUGUUUGUCGUAUUAGGGAUAGAAUAUUGUAAUUAUUGCUCUUUAACGAGGAAUUCCUAGUAAGCACAAGUCAACAGCUUGUGCUGAUUACGUCCCUGCCCUUUGUACACACCGCCCGUCGCUCCUACCGAUUGGGUGAUCCGGUGAAUGAUUUGGACUCUGAUUAUGCUAGCUACUAGCUAUGUUAGGGAAAACUUUGUGAACCUUAUCACUUGGAGGAAGGAGAAGUCGUAACA
This 321-nucleotide ribosomal RNA is filed under the name uncultured eukaryote. RNAcentral's name for it is "partial 18S ribosomal RNA". It matches the Rfam family "Eukaryotic small subunit ribosomal RNA", at positions 1469 to 1796 of the family's 1831-position model. The record is from RNAcentral.